RNAcentral lists this ribosomal RNA (424 nucleotides) under uncultured Nitrosomonas sp. RNAcentral describes it as "bacterial SSU rRNA". It matches the Rfam family "Bacterial small subunit ribosomal RNA", at positions 207 to 622 of the family's 1533-position model. Lineage: Bacteria; Pseudomonadati; Pseudomonadota; Betaproteobacteria; Nitrosomonadales; Nitrosomonadaceae. The record is from RNAcentral.
CAAGACCUUGUGCUGAAGGAGCGGCCGAUGUCUGAUUAGCUUGUUGGUGAGGUAAAGGCUUACCAAGGCAACGAUCAGUAGUUGGUCUGAGAGGACGGCCAACCACACUGGGACUGAGACACGGCCCAGACUCCUACGGGAGGCAGCAGUGGGGAAUUUUGGACAAUGGGCGAAAGCCUGAUCCAGCCAUGCCGCGUGAGUGAAGAAGGCCUUCGGGUUGUAAAGCUCUUUCAGUCGGAAAGAAAAGAUCAUGACUAAUACUCAUGAUUCAUGACGGUACCGACAGAAGAAGCACCGGCUAACUACGUGCCAGCAGCCGCGGUAAUACGUAGGGUGCGAGCGUUAAUCGGAAUUACUGGGCGUAAAGGGUGCGCAGGCGGUCUUGCAAGUCGGAUGUGAAAGCCCCGGGCUUAACCUGGGAAUU